CCAAAACUGGCCUAAAUUGAAACCCACUUCAUCCCACCAUUUUUUCCCAAAUCAAAGUCUGAAACCCUUGAACACAUUGAAUUUGGCAACUAUGCGGCACUUCACCAACUGCGGCAACUAAACCAUCGAACGCGUUGGAAGCCAUUUUCUCCAUACCUUUGAUUUGUACUUCGUGAAUCAUUUUAACCUGCUGUCACUAUUUAUUGCUUCGAAGGUGUCACCACCCAUCUUCUCCUACAUAAUAGUCAGCUAACGGGAGUAAGUACAUUGUUCGACUUACAUGGGUAUGGAUUUCUUGGCAAAAGUUCAAAUUUGUAGCCUGUCACACAAUAAGUUUAAUUUGGUGGAUUUCUUUAUAUUUGAAUCCAAAUUUGUCGGAUCUAUUUUAAGUUUCACAGGUGAGACGUGGGAGGUGAUGAUGGUGGUGGUGGGAUUAUUUAAGAUUUUAUCUCUAUUUCUUGCAACUUAAAUUCUUGGUCGAAUCUUGCAAAUAUGAACGAUGAAGAUGGCGAAUCCUACACAUGAACAACUGAAUUGUUAUUUUGAUUUUUAUUUGAUUUUUUUUCUUACAAGUUGCUAGUAUUCUUCAGCUUAUGUGUAUGUUAUAGUGCUAGAGCUAUUUUUUCAUUAACAAGCUGCUUGGAUUGUUGACAUUUGAUCUUUUUUGGUUGAGUCCCAGUUGACAAUGGCAAGAAAAUACCUAAGAGUCUAUCAUAGUUGUAGAGAGGAGGGCCAUUUUUUUUGGAGAAUGUCCGAGGAAACGCCCUUGGCCAUGGUGUAAGCAUGCCUUCGUAAAGUGUUUUGAAUUGGAGAAUGAGAGUGACAACAAAGGCAUUCUAUUCAAUUCUUGUAGUGCAACAUGUGAAUAUUGAGAGUGGGUUCAAGCUAUUGAAAUGAGUGGUGAAUCUAGUUCAGCUAAAGAUUUCUCUAGCAUGUUGAAACUCUAUGUCGGUUAACUGAUGAACAAGAAGUGGAGAUUUCUGUGAAAGUGACAAUAUGUAAAGGAAGAGAAAGUUCGAAAGGGGACAAGAAAGGAAAGGGACAUGCUUGAGUUGUAGCUGUUAGUGUACUAAUGUUACUUCAUUUAUGUUGUUUAUGACUUGGUAGUGUGAUUAGGAUGUAAUGGACAAUGAUGUUGCUAUUGUAGUUAUAUUAUCGAUGUCCAAUCUCAGUAUUUAGUUGUCCAUAUUUAAAAAUUAUUCAAUUGAAGUCUUUAUUUUUGUAUUUAAU
Molecule: long non-coding RNA, 1230 nt
Filed under: Olea europaea subsp. europaea
Lineage: Eukaryota; Viridiplantae; Streptophyta; Magnoliopsida; Lamiales; Oleaceae
Source: RNAcentral